This 442-nucleotide ribosomal RNA is filed under the name uncultured bacterium. Its description in RNAcentral is "partial 16S ribosomal RNA". It matches the Rfam family "Bacterial small subunit ribosomal RNA", at positions 339 to 795 of the family's 1533-position model. The record is from RNAcentral.
CUACGGGCUGCAGCAGUGGGGAAUUUUGCGCAAUGGGCGAAAGCCUGACGCAGCAACGCCGCGUGAGGGAUGAAGGCCUUCGGGUUGUAAACCUUUGUCAAGCGGGAAGAAAUAAAUGACGGUACCGCUAGAGGAAGCCCCGGCUAACUCCGUGCCAGCAGCCGCGGUAAUACGGAGGGGGCAAGCGUUGUUCGGAAUCAUUGGGCGUAAAGCGUGUGUAGGCGGCUAGAUCAGUCAGACGUGUAAGCCCUCGGCUUAACCGAGGAAUUGCGUUUGAUACUAUCUAGCUUGAGUGUAGGAGAGGAAAGCGGAAUUCCCAGUGUAGCGGUGAAAUGCAUUGAUAUUGGGAAGAACAUCGGUGGCGAAGGCGGCUUUCUGGCCUAUUACUGACGCUGAGAUACGAAAGCUAGGGGAGCGAACGGGAUUAGAUACCCUUGUAGUC